This 449-nucleotide ribosomal RNA is filed under the name uncultured Syntrophaceae bacterium. Its description in RNAcentral is "bacterial SSU rRNA". It matches the Rfam family "Bacterial small subunit ribosomal RNA", at positions 936 to 1382 of the family's 1533-position model. Lineage: Bacteria; Pseudomonadati; Thermodesulfobacteriota; Syntrophia; Syntrophales; Syntrophaceae. The record is from RNAcentral.
AGCAUGUGGUUUAAUUCGAUGCAACGCGAAGAACCUUACCUGGGCUUGACAUCCCAAGAAUCCCCUGGAAACAGGGGAGUGCCCUUCGGGGAGCUUGGAGACAGGUGCUGCAUGGCUGUCGUCAGCUCGUGUCGUGAGAUGUUGGGUUAAGUCCCGCAACGAGCGCAACCCUUACCUUUAGUUGCCAUCAUUCAGUUGGGCACUCUAGAGGGACUGCCGGUGUCAAACCGGAGGAAGGUGGGGAUGACGUCAAGUCCUCAUGGCCUUUAUGCCCAGGGCUACACACGUGCUACAAUGGGCGGUACAAAGAGCAGCGAGCUCGCGAGAGUAAGCAAAUCUCAAAAAGCCGUCCUCAGUUCGGAUUGGAGUCUGCAACUCGACUCCAUGAAGUUGGAAUCGCUAGUAAUCGCGGAUCAGCAUGCCCGCGGUCCGAAUACGUUCCGGGCCUU